Molecule: long non-coding RNA, 391 nt
Filed under: Fukomys damarensis (Damara mole-rat)
Lineage: Eukaryota; Metazoa; Chordata; Mammalia; Rodentia; Bathyergidae
Description: lncRNA (ENSFDAG00000030950.1)
Source: RNAcentral
CUUCUGGAGUCCUCUUUGGGAAUGUCACAGGGUACGGGACCUGGCUUUUCUUUUCUUGUGAUCAGAUGGAAGUUACGAGCUUUAGGGAAGAACACUGCAGAAAUGAAGCAUAGCCCUCUGUUAUAUCAGGAGGUGUACACUAUUGGCACAACCCUGGGGACAGUGUCCUCUUCACUGCCGGAUGUAACUAGGGCAAAGACAACACUUUUCCUAUUUCCAUAUAUACAACUAAGUCUCAUCAGAACUAAAGGGCAGAUGCUCCACCAGUCCUGCUUUGUCAUACACCGCUCUGCCCCCAACCAGAGGGACUUGUGAAUUGGACGUAUCCCUGCAGUUCAGGUAAGCACUCUGAAGACAAUGACAAAGCCUUCCUUGUGCUGGUAGUCUUGAC